RNAcentral lists this ribosomal RNA (388 nucleotides) under uncultured bacterium. Its description in RNAcentral is "bacterial SSU rRNA". It matches the Rfam family "Bacterial small subunit ribosomal RNA", at positions 29 to 416 of the family's 1533-position model. The record is from RNAcentral.
AUUGAACGCUGGCGGCAUGCCUUACACAUGCAAGUCGAACGGCAGCACGGGAGCAAUCCUGGUGGCGAGUGGCGAACGGGUGAGUAAUAUAUCGGAACGUGCCCAGUCGUGGGGAUAACGUAGCGAAAGCUACGCUAAUACCGCAUACGAUCUACGGAUGAAAGCGGGGGAUCGCAAGACCUCGCGCGAUUGGAGCGGCCGAUAUCAGAUUAGGUAGUUGGUGAGGUAAAGGCUCACCAAGCCGACGAUCUGUAGCUGGUCUGAGAGGACGACCAGCCACACUGGGACUGAGACACGGCCCAGACUCCCUACGGGAGGCAGCAGUGGGGAAUUUUGGGACAAUGGGCGCAAGCCUGAUCCAGCAAUGCCCGCGUGCAGGAUGAAGGCC